Molecule: RNA transcript, 5089 nt
Organism: Oncorhynchus gorbuscha (pink salmon)
Lineage: Eukaryota; Metazoa; Chordata; Actinopteri; Salmoniformes; Salmonidae
Gene name: junctophilin-2-like
Exons: 7
Source: RefSeq, a predicted model, not a curated record
GUGGAUCUGCUCGCCUUGUUAGGUCUGCUUAAACAUUUUACAACCGCACCAAGUGUGUUGAGAUAGCAGCGGCAGAGUGAGGGGAAGCAGGGAUAGGGGAAAAGGGGCUUUUCUAUGGCCACCUUGGAAAGCCAUGCAAGAUCCCUGGCUCAACCAGCAAGAUAAUACAUCAAAAGACAGUUCAACUAAAUAAGGGCAUAUAAGUUUUGUCUCUCAGGGGGAAACAACCGUAACAAAUCUUACUCAGUCAGCACAGAGGCUGCAUUAAGUUCAUGACUCUAAAAAUCGACCGGGGAUCAACAGAAGUCAUCCGUGAGGGAAUAAGAAAAUGCGCGCCUAAAUCAAAAUUUUAGGGUCUAGUGCGAAGGCAACGUGAAAAAUACCGAAAAGUACAAAUAAAUUCUAAGCACAGUACCAAGGAUAUCCUAAGUUGUUUUUAAUGACAGGAGAAGGUGGAUGCAGUCUGAAGGAAGAGAUUUUUAUCUUGACCAAGAUUGAUUUGUUGUCAUUGAUUUGACUUUACCUUUGAAUCACAUUUUUGUAUAGAGUCACAGAAGGGAAGGUAUGAGUGGAGGUCGUUUUGAAUUUGAUGAUGGCGGAGCUUAUUGUGGUGGUUGGGAAGGUGGCAAAGCCCAUGGGCAUGGGCUCUGCACCGGACCUAAAGGACAGGGCGAGUUCUCCGGUUCCUGGAAUUACGGGUUUGAAGUAGUUGGAGUGUACACCUGGCCAAGCGGAAAUACCUAUGAAGGCUUCUGGUCGCAAGGGAAGCGCCACGGUCUAGGAGUUGAGACUAAAGGACCGUGGGUUUACAAGGGAGAAUGGACUCAUGGCUUCAAGGGGAGAUAUGGCUUGCGUCUGAGUGUGGGUAGUGGAGCAAAAUAUGAAGGAACAUGGAAUAACGGAUUACAAGAUGGAUAUGGCACAGAGACAUAUGCUGAUGGAGGCACAUUUCAGGGCCAGUUUACUGGCGGUAUGCGACACGGGUACGGAGUCCGUCAGAGCGUGCCCUACGGCAUGGCGGCGGUGGUCCGCUCCCCUCUCCGCACCUCCCUCACCUCCCUCCGCAGCGAGCACAGCAACGGCACCUUGCUCCAGCAGGAUGUCCCCGCCAUCACCACCACCAACGUCGCCGGCCAGGAGACCCGGGUCACCACGCCCACCAAGCUGGGGCCAUCCCGGGGUGGCUUCGCCCUGACCCUCCAGGUGGACCCGGAUGCCGUUAAACCCAAGAAGAAGGGCCUGUUCCGAAGGGGGUCUCUCCUGGGGAAACUGAAGAAGUCAGACUCCCGUACGUCCUUAUCCAGCGUGAGGAGCAAGUUAAGCUUCCUGGGAUCGAGGAGCGAAUCUGCGUUAAGUUCUGCUGCCAGCGAUGUGGCCAGCGAUGCCAACUCCACCAUCAGUCUGGGAGACGAGAGCCUGGCCGGGCCGGAUGAUUUCCCCCCCGUGGAGGCCGACAUCGAUGCCACUACCACAGAGGUCUACAUGGGGGAGUGGAAGAACGACAAGCGCUCGGGCUAUGGAAUAAGCGAACGGUCCAGUGGUCUGAAGUAUGAGGGUGAGUGGUUGGACAACCAGCGACACGGCUAUGGAUGCACUACCUUUGCGGAAGGGGGCAAGGAGGAGGGAAAGUAUAUGAACAAUAUGCUGGUGAAGGCCAUGAAGAAGAGGGUGAUCCAACUGAAGGGCACCAAGAUCAGGCAGAAGGUGGAGCGUGGUGUGGAGGGAGCUCAGCGUGCCUCUGCCAUCGCCAGACAGAAAGCGGAGAUUGCUGCUUCCAGGACGACCCAUGCUAAGGCCAAGUCAGAUUCUGCCGAUCAGGCCUCUCAGGCUUCCAACCAAGAGUCCAGCCUCGCCAGGUUGGUGGCCAGGGAACUGUCCCCUUCAUUCUAUCAGCCAGGCCCAGAGUACAUGAAGAAGAGAGCGCUACAGGAGAUCUCAGAUGGCAAUGAGAACACAGGCCCUAUAAUGCAUGAACCACUGUUAGCAGGGCAGCCACCGACACCCGCUGAAAGCCCAAUGCUGCACGACAGGCCUGACUCCUCUCCAGCCCGCACGCCCUCCCCCAGCCCUGCUGUGACACCUCCAGCGUCCAGGCACUCCAAGCAGGGCUACGUCAGCAAAGAGGAUCCCCAUCUCCUCGGCCCCGCUGGCUGGAACGGGGACAAAGGCAAUGGAAGUCGGGGGAGCAGCCGUCCCAAUAGCAGAACCAACAGCCGGCCCACCACUCCCGCCCCUGCCGCUGCUCCCCCUGAAGAGCGCCUCGCUACUGCCCCCAUCCCUAGCAGCCGCGCCUCCAGCCGCUUGAGCAACAAGGUAGAGCAGGGCUCGGACCUGGAGAUCAAACCCCUGGAGAAGACGGCAUCUGAGGCUAAAGUGUCCGAAGCUGCUCCCUCGAUAAGUACCAGUGUCGCCUACUCAGAAGAAGAAAAAGAAGCCCCACCCCUUCCUCCCGCCUCCAAAAUGUCUUCCAAAGCUGCCGUCACCCCCGAGCCUAAAUCGUUAGAGCCCAAACAAAGAACAGAGUCGGUCAAUGAACGACCCGUGUCCACCAUAUCUGAGAGCGAACCAGAGUCCAGUGCCCAGUCUGUCAAUAAAGUGUCACCCAAGCCUUCGCCAUCACUCAGGCAAUUGACGAAACAGGAGGCCAGUCCAGCUUCAAAACCUGCCACACCUGCACCUACACCAGUGCCUAAAGCUGUCAAGCCAGCCCCGAAGGUUGAACCCAAAGCAGAGGCCAAGCUGAUGAAGAACAUGGUGAAGAGCCCAAGUGAAGUUACAGAAGUAGUAGAAUUUGAGCAGAGUCCGAACACCAUCAUGAUAACCAUGGUGAUUCUUCUCAACAUUGGCCUGGCCAUUCUCUUCGUACACAUCUUGUCAUGAAACACUGUCGACCCAGCAGUCAAAACACAAUGGCACUGAACUUCUGACCCUUGCAACCUGUCACCACCUUGCUGUGGUGUUGAGGUCAUUUUUAAGCAAGGACCAUACAGAACAAGAAAACUGCCAAGAAGCACAAGCCUUAUAUGAAGGAAGCAUGUGACAGCUCCUCCACACACAGCCUCUUGUUGAUGUGACUGCGUUGAGGUUCUUUAAGGCUAAUCUGCUUUCCAGAGGCUUGGAAUCAGAGGAGGCUGGUGGGGGGAGCUAUAGGAGGACGGGCUCAUUCGUGUCUGUAAUGGAGUUAAUGGAACAGUGUCAAACACAUCAACCAUAUGGAAACCACAUGUUUGAUUCUGUUCCAUUUAUUCCAUUCAAGCCAUUACAAUGAGCCUCUCCUCCUAUAACUCCCCCCGCCAGCCUCCUCUGCUUGGACCAUAUGAAUCCGGAUUGAAGGACAUCAAUGCAUAUGAAUCCAUACGGCUCAGGAUUGAAGGACAUCAGGAAGAGGGUCUGGAAGAGAAGAGGGUCUGAAUGGACACUGUGUUUGUAAAGAAGAGUUGUUGAAUGUUAUUCACUGGUGAAGUCUUUGGUAAAUGAUAUUUCACUGUAUCUGAGUCAACUAAAGCACUGUGUGUUAUGUUUUCACAAAGGGCUAAACCCUUCAUAUUGGAAAACACUGUCUCCUCAGAUCACCGGCAGAUUAGAGUGGUUGUGGUGUGGACAGGUUAGAGUGUCAGGAAAGGAUUAGUUAGCUUUGUAAUUAGAUAUUUAUUUAGCUGAUAUCUUGUCUAUAGGAAUGUAAUCUCUGGGAAAAUCUCAAAUGAACUGAAUAUUCUCUAAUUUCUGCCUAUUUUUGCCAAUUAUAAUUAGUGGUUUGGGGCUAAUAUCAGUGUUCCUAUUUAUUGACAGAAAUCUAUAUUAUGCUCCAAUUAGUUUAUCUGCCUUCUUCCUUUUUUGCCCUAUUCUCAACUUUCUUCAGUAGUCAUCAAUAAAGACAUGUUACAGUCUCUUUGACGUCACAGGGCUCUAAGACAUGAAAUGCUGGUUCUUUAUUCGGCAACGCCUGAGAAUCCGUGAUGUUCUUGUCUGCAAUGGCAAUGCAACCCACCACAGCAAUGCAAUGUAAUGGACAGUUGAUUUUGCACAUAACAUAUUCUCUCUCCAAGGCAAUUUUGAGUGAGUCACACUGGAAUGGUACUUAUAAAACAAUAUCUGUAUUAUUUAGUAAGAGGCUUUCAAAUGACACAGAAUCGGGGAGGAAUUCUAGGUCUUUAACCAGUGUAUGUGGUAUUGGAUUUCUGGAGUAAUGUGUAUCUAUGUUGUUUUCUGGUUGUCUGAUCAAAAGAAACGUAAAGCAGCCUAUUGAAUGGUUUGAUUUUAUUAAAAACAUGACAUGAAAAUAAUGAUACAUUUGGGUGGGCGGUGGGGAGUCAAUUUUGUCAAGUGUAGAUUUCGAGAGGGUAUUUAUUUGAACAAAUGGGCUUGCGUUGUUAGGACGUAAAUGUGAGCAGUUUUUUGGGAAUUCAGUUGGUCUGUCUGCUUCAGAAUAAGUCACACCAUUUAAGAUGCAUUGCACUCAGAACAAACCGUUUGCGCUUCAUAAUCAAUCAAGAUGACUUUCCUCCUAACGUUUGUAUGCACGUGGGCACUGUUGUGGGUGUGUUUUUGUACCUUUUUGAAGUACACAUCUCCAAUGUGGUGUAUUUAAAAGAAACACUCCAGGUCUUACUUUACUGGAGAGCACUACAGUAUGAGAUUCUGCACUGUAUAAAUCCUUAUUUAUAACUUUAUUUCCCCUAUGUCCCCGAACAGUUGUCUUCCCUUCAAAGACGAUUGAUAAGUAAGUGGGAAAAGAUAUUCAAGAUAAGGUACUCUUGUACAUUACGUAAAAGAGGCCUCAGAUCUACUUCCUUACUAAUCCAACUCCCACCUAUGGACAAUGCACUUGUAUUGUUUCCCUCAUGCUCAUAGCGACAUGAGACUCUUCAACAGUCUCCUUACUCUCGACAUUGUUUCAUAAAACAUUGACACUUUAUGUAACAUACUUUCAUUGCAAUAGAACACGAACGAGACCCUCUAUCAGAAGUGACUGGGCUAAUCCAGGAGCUGAUUAUUUAAGACAUAAUCCUGGAUGGAUCCCAUUGUAUUCAUAAAUAUUGCUUGUCCUCUUCUAAAAUUGUGAAAUGAAAAUAAAAGAUAUCUUCCAAUA